UUCCCACCCAGGGGGCUCCCUCGCGGCUGCGGUGAGCAGGCAGUGCGGGCGCGGCGUUCCGCAUGACCACCUCGCCGGGUCCGGGCAUCGCCCGCGGGACCGAUGGGCCCCCGCGGCCACCCUCGCCAGGCGCACCCACCCCGAGCUUCCCACGCCGGGGCGGGCAAGCGCAACACCUUCUCCUACCUUCCAGCCGCCGAGGACCGCACUCUCCGCUCAGCCCUCUCGACUCAUCCUCUGGCUGCAGGGAGGGCGAGCGGGCUCUGCUUUUGUUCCCUGGGGCUGGCAGGUCCGUGUGGGGCCUGGGCGCGCGGGGGAUGUCGAGGAGCUGGGUAUCCCGGACAGGGGAUGCUCACUCCCAGCAGCUCCGCCCGCAGCAGCGGCGGCAGUGGCGGCGGCGGCAGCAGCAGCAGCAGCAGCGGCAGAGAUAGUGCCGGCUCUCUGCAGGCCACAUCUUUCAUACCUUAUACAUCACUACCGCAUUCCCCCGAAUAGGGGAGCCCCAUAGCAUUUCGCCACCUAGCGCAGAAUGCAGGCGCCCACAGCAGCGGUGGAGGGGACCUAGCCGGGAUGCGAGCACCGCGAGAGGAGAAGGACCUCAGCACCCGCUCGCAGGCUCUCUCCCCGCUCCAAUCAUCGCGAGGCCUGCAACUUGUAGCAGCCAUUCUGCAGUCCUGACCUAGGAUUGUCUGUUCCCCAGGGAGGUCCGGACUUCAGGCCAAGCAACACAGUUUAUUAGGGGGAGCCCUCUCCCAGUUUCCACUCGGGUCUUGGCCAGCACAUGCGUCCUCCUCGCUGGAGUCUCCGCACACGAGGCUUUGCAGCAGCAGACACACACCCUCUUGCAUGUGCGUAAGCCCGCGAGACACAUUUCUGCGCUCCCCACCAACCAGUGUGUGCGUCCAGGAGCAGGACUGCUGUGAGAAGCCAGUGAGAUAAGCACAGAGCUUGACACCGGUCAUGCGAUGGCAAAUGAUGGAGCUUUUCUUCUUCAGCCAGUGCAGGUCUGCCCUUCCUGGGACAGUAAGAUAUCAGCCACAAUUCACUCACUCAGUCUGCUAGAGGGAAAGCCCACUUGAUUGGCACCCCUGGAGCUUGGAUGUGAAUUUCUCCUACCAGUCUCCGAGGACCCCUUUCCUCAACUUGAAAGUGUAAAUAAUAAUAUGUUUUCUCGUUAAAUUAUUGUGAGGAUUAAACAAGAUGACAAAGGCACCUGAGGCUAAAUAGUCAUUAAUUUCCUCUUCGCCAUAACCCUCAUGUUGAGGUCUUCCAGACUGCCCCUCCAGGAGCCCCCGGAGGGUUCCUA
RNAcentral lists this long non-coding RNA (1306 nucleotides) under Equus asinus (donkey). RNAcentral describes it as "lncRNA (ENSEASG00005037153.1)". The record is from RNAcentral. Lineage: Eukaryota; Metazoa; Chordata; Mammalia; Perissodactyla; Equidae.